CAGCCGCCGCGGGAAUACGUAGGGUGCGAGCGUUAAUCGGAAUUACUGGGCGUAAAGCGUGCGCAGGCGGUUAUAUAAGACAGAUGUGAAAUCCCCGGGCUCAACCUGGGACCUGCAUUUGUGACUGUAUAGCUAGAGUACGGUAGAGGGGGAUGGAAUUCCACGUGUAGCAGUGAAAUGCGUAGAUAUGCGGAGGAACACCGAUGGCGAAGGCAAUCCCCUGGACCUGUACUGACGCUCAUGCACGAAAGCGUGGGGAGCAAACAGGAUUAGAUACCCGGGUAGUCCCUGUCUCUUAUAC
RNAcentral lists this ribosomal RNA (301 nucleotides) under uncultured bacterium. RNAcentral describes it as "partial 16S ribosomal RNA". It matches the Rfam family "Bacterial small subunit ribosomal RNA", at positions 509 to 807 of the family's 1533-position model. The record is from RNAcentral.